UACGUAGGGGGCUAGCGUUGUCCGGAAUCAUUGGGCGUAAAGCGCGUGUAGGCGGUUCGGUAAGUCCGCUGUGAAAGUCGGGGGCUCAACCCUCGAAUGCCGGUGGAUACUGUCGGACUAGAGUACGGAAGAGGCGAGUGGAAUUCCUGGUGUAGCGGUGAAAUGCGCAGAUAUUAGGAGGAACACCGGUGGCGAAGGCGCCGCUCUGGGCCGAAACUGACGCUGAGGAGCGAAAGCAUGGGUAGCAAACAGG
This 253-nucleotide ribosomal RNA is filed under the name uncultured bacterium. Its description in RNAcentral is "partial 16S ribosomal RNA". It matches the Rfam family "Bacterial small subunit ribosomal RNA", at positions 524 to 776 of the family's 1533-position model. The record is from RNAcentral.